GACGAACGCGGGCGGCGUGCCUAAUACAUGCAAGUAGAACGCUGAAGGAGGAGCUUGCUCUUCUGGAUGAGUUGCGAACGGGUGAGUAACGCGUAGGUAACCUGCCUGGUAGCGGGGGAUAACUAUUGGAAACGAUAGCUAAUACCGCAUAAGAGUAGAUGUUGCAUGACAUUUACUUAAAAGGUGCAAUUGCAUCACUACCAGAUGGACCUGCGUUGUAUUAGCUAGUUGGUGGGGUAACGGCUCACCAAGGCGACGAUACAUAGCCGACCUGAGAGGGUGAUCGGCCACACUGGGACUGAGACACGGCCCAGACUCCUACGGGAGGCAGCAGUAGGGAAUCUUCGGCAAUGGACGGAAGUCUGACCGAGCAGCGCCGCGUGAGUGAAGAAGGUUUUCGGAUCGUAAAGCUCUGUUGUAAGAGAAGAACGAGUGUGAGAGUGGAAAGUUCACACUGUGACGGUAUCUUACCAGAAAGGGACGGCUAACUACGUGCCAGCAGCCGCGGUAAUACGUAGGUCCCGAGCGUUGUCCGGAUUUAUUGGGCGUAAAGCGAGCGCAGGCGGUUAGAUAAGUCUGAAGUUAAAGGCUGUGGCUUAACCAUAGUACGCUUUGGAAACUGUUUAACUUGAGUGCAAGAGGGGAGAGUGGAAUUCCAUGUGUAGCGGUGAAAUGCGUAGAUAUAUGGAGGAACACCGGUGGCGAAAGCGGCUCUCUGGCUUGUAACUGACGCUGAGGCUCGAAAGCGUGGGGAGCAAACAGG
This 763-nucleotide ribosomal RNA is filed under the name uncultured Streptococcus sp. Its description in RNAcentral is "bacterial SSU rRNA". It matches the Rfam family "Bacterial small subunit ribosomal RNA", at positions 28 to 776 of the family's 1533-position model. The record is from RNAcentral. Lineage: Bacteria; Bacillati; Bacillota; Bacilli; Lactobacillales; Streptococcaceae.